Molecule: ribosomal RNA, 1005 nt
Filed under: Alternaria sp. enrichment culture clone NJ-F3
Lineage: Eukaryota; Fungi; Ascomycota; Dothideomycetes; Pleosporales; Pleosporaceae
Description: SSU rRNA
Rfam family: Eukaryotic small subunit ribosomal RNA
Source: RNAcentral
AUAGUAUAUGCAAUUAUACCGUGAAACUGCGAAUGGCUCAUUAAAUCAGUUAUCGUUUAUUUGAUAAUACCUUACUACUUGGAUAACCGUGGUAAUUCUAGAGCUAAUACAUGCUGAAAAUCCCGACUUCGGAAGGGAUGUGUUUAUUAGAUAAAAAACCAAUGCCCUUCGGGGCUUUUUGGUGAUUCAUGAUAACUUUACGGAUCGCAUAGCCUUGCGCUGGCGACGGUUCAUUCAAAUUUCUGCCCUAUCAACUUUCGAUGGUAAGGUAUUGGCUUACCAUGGUUUCAACGGGUAACGGGGAAUUAGGGUUCGAUUCCGGAGAGGGAGCCUGAGAAACGGCUACCACAUCCAAGGAAGGCAGCAGGCGCGCAAAUUACCCAAUCCCGACACGGGGAGGUAGUGACAAUAAAUACUGAUACAGGGCUCUUUUGGGUCUUGUAAUUGGAAUGAGUACAAUUUAAACCUCUUAACGAGGAACAAUUGGAGGGCAAGUCUGGUGCCAGCAGCCGCGGUAAUUCCAGCUCCAAUAGCGUAUAUUAAAGUUGUUGCAGUUAAAAAGCUCGUAGUUGAAACUUGGGCCUGGCUGGCGGGUCCGCCUCACCGCGUGCACUCGUCCGGCCGGGCCUUCCUUCUGAAGAACCUCAUGCCCUUCACUGGGCGUGCUGGGGAAUCAGGACUUUUACUUUGAAAAAAUUAGAGUGUUCAAAGCAGGCCUUUGCUCGAAUACGUUAGCAUGGAAUAAUAAAAUAGGGCGUGCGUUUCUAUUUUGUUGGUUUCUAGAGACGCCGCAAUGAUUAACAGGAACAGUCGGGGGCAUCAGUAUUCAGUUGUCAGAGGUGAAAUUCUUGGAUUUACUGAAGACUAACUACUGCGAAAGCAUUUGCCAAGGAUGUUUUCAUUAAUCAGUGAACGAAAGUUAGGGGAUCGAGACGAUCAGAUACCGUCGUAGUCUUAACCGUAAACUAUGCCGACUAGGGAUCGGGCGAUGUUCUUUUUUCUGAC